This 469-nucleotide ribosomal RNA is filed under the name uncultured bacterium. Its description in RNAcentral is "bacterial SSU rRNA". It matches the Rfam family "Bacterial small subunit ribosomal RNA", at positions 60 to 524 of the family's 1533-position model. The record is from RNAcentral.
AGUCGAACGGCAGCACGGGAGCAAUCCUGGUGGCGAGUGGCGAACGGGUGAGUAAUAUAUCGGAACGUACCUUUCAGUGGGGGAUAACGUAGCGAAAGUUACGCUAAUACCGCAUAUUCUGUGAGCAGGAAAGCAGGGGAUCUUAGGACCUUGCGCUGAUUGAGCGGCCGAUAUCAGAUUAGCUAGUUGGUGAGGUAAAGGCUCACCAAGGCGACGAUCUGUAGCGGGUCUGAGAGGAUGAUCCGCCACACUGGAACUGAGACACGGUCCAGACUCCUACGGGAGGCAGCAGUGGGGAAUUUUGGACAAUGGGGGCAACCCUGAUCCAGCCAUGCCGCGUGAGUGAAGAAGGCCUUCGGGUUGUAAAGCUCUUUCAGCCGGGAAGAAAACGCAUGGGUUAAUACCCUGUGUGGAUGACGGUACCGGAAUAAGAAGCACCGGCUAACUACGUGCCAGCAGCCGCGGUAAU